Small nuclear RNA from Echinops telfairi (small Madagascar hedgehog), 129 nucleotides. The record is from RefSeq and is a predicted model, not a curated record. NCBI's taxonomy places the organism in Eukaryota, Metazoa, Chordata, Mammalia, Afrosoricida, Tenrecidae.
GUGCUGGCUGAGAAGUCAAGAAGGUUAGCAUUCCCCUAAGCAUGGAUGGAAAAGGUCCUGGUGACCUAUAUACCAGACAUAUGGUUAAGAAAUUGCCACCUACCUCAUGGCAUCUAUCUAUGACUUCUC